RNAcentral lists this unclassified non-coding RNA (779 nucleotides) under Hevea brasiliensis (rubber tree). Lineage: Eukaryota; Viridiplantae; Streptophyta; Magnoliopsida; Malpighiales; Euphorbiaceae. The record is from RNAcentral.
GAAAAACACAAUUAGUCCAGCAAAAGAAAAUUUAUAAAAUAACAGAAAUAUUAUUUACGUCAAAGUGUUAAUCCUCAAAUGUAUGCAAGGAACAAAUGAGGAUUCAAGAAUUAUACUUUUAACACAGUGCAAAAGAACAAAAAAUAAAAAACAAGUCACAAUCUAAGCAGCACAGAGAAUAGUCAGGCAAGAUCUAUCCAAGCCUCAUAUGAAAAACCCUAAAGAUGCAAAUUAUAAAGAGUUAAAUACAAACUAAAAAUGACAUAACAAAACAGCAGAAACAUCAGCCAAGUUGUGCGGGCUUUAAGGCUUUUUAAAAUUACAUUUACAUCUACUAUAGAGUCCGCAAAAAACAAUAGUCCAAAGGAGGAUGUUUUUUCCAUUGUAUAGAAGGAUGUACUAGAUUCAUGAGAUGAAUUGAAGGCUUCGUAAUACAUCCUCCAGUAUGUCUUUGAAUUGGUCACCGUUUCACCAAUGAAUAAGGAAAAAUGAAACUUUGAAGAGCAGAUACCUAGGAAAAGUACAUUACUCAAGAAAGCAUUCUCAAAAUGUCAACUACAUACGGUGCUGUCACAAAUAGCAAUGAAAACCACACUUCUUGAGGGGGAAUAUAAAGAGAGAGACUUGAGGAACUCGAACAGUUUUGCUAAUUUAAGUUUUUGUAAGUGAACACCUAAACAAGUUGACAAGAAAAUACCAAUGUCAUUUCUUUACAAUUUCUUUUAAACAAAACAUCAUAUGAUAAAAGAUAAUAAUUUUCAAAAACAUAACAGUACCUC